RNAcentral lists this ribosomal RNA (439 nucleotides) under uncultured bacterium. Its description in RNAcentral is "partial 16S ribosomal RNA". It matches the Rfam family "Bacterial small subunit ribosomal RNA", at positions 339 to 795 of the family's 1533-position model. The record is from RNAcentral.
CUACGGGGUGCUGCAGUGGGGAAUAUUGGACAAUGGGCGCAAGCCUGAUCCAGCAAUGCCGCGUGAGUGAAGACGGCCUUAGGGUUGUAAAACUCUUUCGCUAGGGAAGAUAAUGACUGUACCUAGUAAAGAAGUCCCGGCUAACUCCGUGCCAGCAGCCGCGGUAAUACGGAGGGGACUAGCGUUGUUCGGAAUUACUGGGCGUAAAGAGUUCGUAGGCGGACUGACAAGUUAGAGGUGAAAUCCCAGGGCUCAACCCUGGAACUGCCUUUAAAACUGUCAGUCUAGAGACCGGAAGAGAUUAGGGGAAUACCUAGUGUAGAGGUGAAAUUCGUAGAUAUUAGGUGGAACACCAGUGGCGAAGGCGCCUAACUGGUCCGGUACUGACGCUGAGGAACGAAAGCGUGGGGAGCAAACAGGAUUAGAUACCCGCGUAGUC